This 253-nucleotide ribosomal RNA is filed under the name uncultured bacterium. Its description in RNAcentral is "partial 16S ribosomal RNA". It matches the Rfam family "Bacterial small subunit ribosomal RNA", at positions 524 to 776 of the family's 1533-position model. The record is from RNAcentral.
UACAGAGGGGGCAAGCGUUGUUCGGAAUUACUGGGCGUAAAGGGCGCGUAGGUGGCCUUCUAAGUCGAACGUGAAAUCCCUGGGCUCAACCCAGGAACUGCGUCCGAGACUGGGAGGCUUGAAUCCGGGAGAGGGAUGCGGAAUUCCCGGUGUAGCGGUGAAAUGCGUAGAUAUCAGGAGGAACACCAGUGGCGAAGGCGCCGCUCUGGGCCGUGACUGACGCUGAGGAGCGAAAGCGUGGGUAGCAAACAGG